RNAcentral lists this ribosomal RNA (253 nucleotides) under uncultured bacterium. RNAcentral describes it as "partial 16S ribosomal RNA". It matches the Rfam family "Bacterial small subunit ribosomal RNA", at positions 524 to 776 of the family's 1533-position model. The record is from RNAcentral.
UACGUAGGGUGCGAGCGUUAAUCGGAAUUACUGGGCGUAAAGCGUGCGCAGGCGGUUUUGUAAGCCAGAUGUGAAAUCCCCGGGCUCAACCUGGGAAUGGCAUUUGGGACUGCAAGGCUGGAGUGUGGCAGAGGAGACUGGAAUUCCUGGUGUAGCAGUGAAAUGCGUAGAUAUCAGGAGGAACACCGAUGGCGAAGGCAGGUCUCUGGGCUGACACUGACGCUCAUGCACGAAAGCGUGGGGAGCAAACAGG